UUUGUAAAUAUGAUAAUCAGGAAAGGCUGCCAACCGUUCAUGAAAAAUGUCGAGAUAUUCUAUAAAAGUACAAAUUUCGGCUGAUAGUUAAAAAAUUUUAAUAUAGUGAUUCCGUUUAUAGGAAAGGGAAAAAAUGUGAUAUAUGUUAUGUAAAAUGGCAGAAAAUGUUGUUUUUUUUAGAACCUUGGCCUAUGCACUUCUCAAAACUAAUGUUAAAUGCUUGAAAGAAUAUUUCAAUUACGCUGUAUUUAAUGUUGGCAAGCCUUGAUUUUUUAUAAGAGAAAGCGAAAGGAGAAAAAUUAUUCAAGCAAAAAAUGUAUCUAAUUAUGUACUUUUACCUUGCUUCAUUUUUUUCCAUUUACGAUAUCCAAGCAGCAAUUAAAUAGACCAGAAAUGGGAAAAUGUAGUUUAUU
Molecule: long non-coding RNA, 413 nt
Organism: Schistocerca gregaria
Lineage: Eukaryota; Metazoa; Arthropoda; Insecta; Orthoptera; Acrididae
Exons: 3
Source: RefSeq, a predicted model, not a curated record